Brassica rapa (field mustard) is the source of this 2681-nucleotide long non-coding RNA. RefSeq lists it as uncharacterized. NCBI's taxonomy places the organism in Eukaryota, Viridiplantae, Streptophyta, Magnoliopsida, Brassicales, Brassicaceae. The record is from RefSeq and is a predicted model, not a curated record.
AUGCUUGUAAAUUUUUGAGAGUUGAGCAUUAGAAUAUAAGAAAACAAAGACUUCGGAUGUUGUUUUUCGUUUCUAAAUUAAUUUUAAUAAAAACGAAUGUCACUUUCGCAUAAAUAAAAAGAAGAAUAACAUGUUUUACAUUUUUCUGAAAAAAAUGUUUUAUAGUGUAAAAUUAUCUUUGUAUUUCACUUUUUCACAAAGAAGCAGAGCCGAUAGAGAUGAUGAAUAAGAGAAAAAACGUGGUCAAGAUUUGCGUUGUGAAGCGAGUGAGUUGUUAAGCGUAGGGAGCAGGUCAGUCACGUGACUUUCAGACUGGGACAGUCAGACCAAAAGGUCAGAUAUCAUUAAAGUAUGUAUACGUACUCUUUUAUUUUCUACUCCAUCUGCAUAGUACACAUCCAUAAUAAACAAUACAGUAAUAACUUUGUUUUUUCACUGCUUCAAAUAAAACAACUACUGCACGUUUAUAGACAGAGCUAACGUAAUUUGUGUCAACGAACUUACUGUAAUUUACUAGCGAUGACUGAGCUUGAAAUCUUUGUCUUUUAAAUUGUCCUGUAAUUUUAUUUUGUCUAAAGCUAAAGCUCUAAGCUCCAUUUUUGCAUGUAUUAUCAUUUUAUACUAUUGUCCCCGUAUCUAAAAAUUUGUCACAAAAAAAAAAAAUUAUUUCAGUCAUUUGAGAUUCUCAUAUACACUUUAUACUCGGUAAAUUUUAAGGCACCGUUUAAUUCUUAUCGUGGUAUCUUUAUAGUUACUAAACACUAUUUAUUUUUAUUUGAACCGUCUGUCUUUAUUCGCUUACACUACAUAUUCUCCAGCCAGUUGAGUUUUCAGUUUUACGAGAUUGUGUUACAUAUAUGUAUAGCUCUCUCUCUUUAAUGUUAUAUCGACAAAAGCGAUGGUGUUGCGUAAAACUAUUUUUAAACGAAACUUAUUCCGAACGAAUCUGGAUAAUGUUUUAUAUGAUUUGUAAAUAUGCACUAUAUGUGUAAAGUUUGUAGUUCCGAGACGUAUUAUUAACAUAAUCAUUAUUCGGCGAAAAUAUGAUACAAUCAGAUUCAUUAGAUGUGGACCCUAAAGUCCCAUUAUCAUUCUUCUUUAGUGGGCCUCAAGUUAUCCUAGUAGUAUGUAAAUUCGAAUGAAUAUCGUUACUUCUUUCUUUCUACUUCAUUAUUUCCAGUUCAUUUAAAAUGAUUCAUGGGAUCAGUUCAUUUUCAUUAAUACUUCAUUAAUAUAUUUUAUGUUUCAACGAUAAACAAAUCGUUUCUAGUUGAAGUUUAUUCAAUGGUUCAUUUAAUAAGUUUAUAUGGAGUUUGGUUUUUCAACUAGUUAAUGCGACGCACUCUUCGAAACAAAAAAAUGUUUUUUUCCAACUAGUUUAUAUCGUUACUUUUUUUUUUUUUUUUUUUUUUUUUUUUAAAUCGGCGCGUCCACCCAACGCGCCCCCAAUUAUCUCUCUCGAAACCUAAUCUCCUCGAUCCAAAUCGUCGCUCUCCCCUAGCCUCUCCGGCGCCAUCUGGUGCUGCGAGAGGGCCAUACAAUCUCCCGCUGUGUCCAUCUCCACCUCUUCCCUUCGUUGUUCUCCGCUCGGUUUGCCGCUUUGCUUGGCGCCUCUGGAUCUGUUGGUUUCCUCCACCGGAUAGUCGGAUUCAAAGUCGUCUUUGGUUCCUCUGGAGCUCCGGCGAGGCAAGAAGAGUCGGGGUUAUCUUAGGGCUGGCCCUUGGGUCUCCUGUUAGUCGCCGUUUGUGCUCGAAGUUGGGUCAACUUUGAGAUCCGAUACAGCCGGAACACCAGACGCGUCGCUGCCGUCGUCGUUUCAGCCUCUACAUCUCGCUCCAGUCGGCUUCUCUAUCAAGUCUCUCCAAGGGUCUCCGUAGAGCUUCUCCUCUCUUUGAGUGAAAGAUGGCUAUGAGGUAAGCCAUCGAGGACCUCUUUCUUUAGUUCGAAAGACAACAACCAUGGUGGUCUCUGGUUCAAGUUUGGUAACUUCUUCUUGCUACCGAUGUUGUUCACUGAGGUCUUGAGGACAACCCUAGUCACGAUGUCACCUGCUUCAAGGAGUAGCCUUUUUCUACCAUGAGCCGUCUGUUUUCAAGGAGUUUAAUCGCUUCUUCUAUUCGUCAAUUCCAUCCUCCUAAGCUCCGAUUUCUAGAUUCAGUGUGCCCUGAAGUUGAUGUUGUACCCAUUGUGUCGCGCAGCCGGAUAGGGAGCCAAACAGACCGCCUGCGCUUGACCGCAACGUGUGCUUUAUUGUAAAUGGCGUCGAAGUCAGGUUUACACCUUAGCUAACACCGAGAAAGCUUGAGUUUUGUUGGCCAGUGUCCUCCUCCAGCGGAGCUCCGGGAUGGGAGCCAGCUGUCACCGUCGAUGCCUGCUGCGAGCCACCUCGGUGAGACCUGACUAAACACUUCUCAUGGCUUUACUCUCGCAGUCUCAGGUUGCUCCUUUGAUUUGAGAAGUGCUUGGGAUGGGGAGAUUAAACUGUUAGUCUUUAGUUCUGUUUUGGUAUUAUGUUCAAGCUUCCAUUGUUUGGUUAGGACUGAUCAUAAUCUCUUUGGGGUUUAGGAGUUUUUUUAAACUUUUUUGCACCUCUAAGCUUUCAGAAUGGCUGAAAAGUAAAUUAGGUUGCAUUAACAUGUAAUCAAACCUUCAUUGUUUUCAAUGACAUUUACGAUUUAGCA